GAGUUGUCUCCCUUUGCUCCCUUUGCUCCCUUAGCUCCCGUAGCUCCUGUUGCUCCGGCCCGAGACUUUCUCGGGCCGCUGGAGGGUGGAGAGCCGCUGGUUUGCAGAGGGCGUGCUGGGGAGCCAGGUCGGGCGGCCGUCGGGGUUUGUCCGGCUGGUGGAGGGACUGUCGGAGGAGACGUACUCCUGCACCGGGUGGUUUGCCUGCCUGGUGAACUGGCCAACCCGAAGGCGGGAACCAGCAGAUACCCCGGUAGCUGAAGAGAGAGGCGAGUCCCGCGAGGAAGGAGGGAGGAGAGAGAGAGGAGCUUUCGGGAACGGACAGAACCAGGCCGCAGGGCUGGGAAGGAUCUCAGCAAGUGGGCUGGAGGGCCUGUGGGGCUGGAAGGCGAUGGCAGGGGGCUAGCGAGCAGGCUGCCGGGGAAGGGGGCCCUCAUCCGCCUGUUGCUUGUAGUCACGAUUGCAACCCGCCUCCGCUCACCGGUAACAAUGGCCACAACGAUGCGGACCCAGAGGCCAUAGAAGGGCCAGUGCAAAGAGAGCAUGAUAGAAUGUGAAGGCAUGGAGUGAUGGCCGCUUCAGGACCCCCCAAAUGGGUCAAUGAACCUCUCUACCACCUGGAACAUUUGUACUGACCCCUGCCACCCCCACCACCAUGCCUGGAACACCAGACGGGGCAGCACUGGGAGACGUCUCCCAGAACCCUCCUCCCAUGAACCCUCCUCCCACACCUGUGAGGAAGCUGCAGAAGGUGACUCAGAGGGGCAGGAAGGGUGAGGAGCACCACAGGAUGGAGAGGGUGCUGGGCCAGCAGGAGUAGAACAGGUGUAUGACAGAGAGAACGCAUGCUUCGCAGCACAAGGAUAUCUGUGUGUUUGAUUCACAGCGCCUAGAACAGAGAGCGGCCCCUCCCAGGUGCUUAAUAUUUACUGAAUGAAGAAAUAAAAGGCUCA
This is a long non-coding RNA of Myotis myotis, 953 nucleotides long. RefSeq lists it as uncharacterized. The record is from RefSeq and is a predicted model, not a curated record. The transcript has 3 exons. Lineage: Eukaryota; Metazoa; Chordata; Mammalia; Chiroptera; Vespertilionidae.